CCCUACGUCUUUACACACACACACACACGCUGUAACGAUGUCUCAUGGAAUGUUUUCCGCGUUUAACGCAAUACAAUACAACUUUCAGCAACGGAUCUCUUGGCUCUCGCAUCGAUGAAGAACGCAGCGAAAUGCGAUAAGUAAUGUGAAUUGCAGAAUUCAGUGAAUCAUCGAAUCUUUGAACGCACCUUGCGCCCCUUGGCUAUUCCUUGGGGCAUGCCUGUUUGAGUAUCAUGAACACCUCAACUCUCAUGGUCUGCCAUGACGAGCUUGGACUUUGGGGGUUUGCUGGCCGUUGUGGCCGGCUCCUCUCAAAUGAAUCAGCUUGCCAGUGUUUGGUGGCGUCACGGGUGUGAUAACUAUCUACGCUUGUGGCCGUCCGCCAGGUAACCUUUGGUGACAAAGGUUCGCUGGAGCUUACAAACGUCUCUCCUCAGCGAAGACAGCUUUUGAAAGUUCGAUCUCAAAUCAGGUAG
Molecule: ribosomal RNA, 476 nt
Filed under: Thelephora sp. P86
Lineage: Eukaryota; Fungi; Basidiomycota; Agaricomycetes; Thelephorales; Thelephoraceae
Description: eukaryotic LSU rRNA
Rfam family: 5.8S ribosomal RNA (bases 80-234)
Source: RNAcentral